Long non-coding RNA from Peromyscus maniculatus bairdii (prairie deer mouse), 1385 nucleotides. RefSeq lists it as uncharacterized. Lineage: Eukaryota; Metazoa; Chordata; Mammalia; Rodentia; Cricetidae. The record is from RefSeq and is a predicted model, not a curated record.
GCUCUUCCUACUAUUUCUGGAAGGCUUGUUGAUGCUUUUGGUCUUUCGUACUGUAGAUAUGACAUUGAUGUCCAUAUCCAUGGAGAUAUUCUUCUACAAGAGACCCUAUUGAUGCAAGAGUUCUGUGCUGCCAACGUGAUGAAUGUUAAUUGCCAUGAUCUCAGCUACCAUCUGAAAUUGGUGAUAUUUACAUGCUACCACCUGCAACCUUGUUGACGACAUGGAUUCCUGCUGUUUUCUUUAUCGUGUUCAUGAGCUUUCCUAUGCUAUUCCAAUUGGUUUGAAGUCCAUCUUGAUGCCUUAUGUUAUGUUUUGCUCCUGGAUAAGGUGUUGAUGUUGAUGUCCAUGUUCUGUCCUGCCACCUGAGACCACAUUGAGGAAAUCAUGUUGAUGUCACUGUUCUUUGCUGCAUCUUCUAACCAUGUUGAUGUUCAUCAUCCAACCUACUGUCCAAACUUUGUUGAUGUUACUGAUCUAUGUUGUAACUGUCAACCAUGUUGAGGUUAAUGAACUUUGCUACCACCUGUAAUCAUAUUGAUGUCUGCAGUGUACAGUGUCAUCAGAAACAGUGUUGAAGUCAUUUGUCCAUACUGCUUCCUUAGACCCAGUUCAAGCAACCAUGUUGAUGUGAGUGAUUCUCGCUGCCUCUCUUAACCUUGCUGAUGUCCAUGAUUCGACUUGUCAUCUGAAACUUUGUUGAUGUCACUGAUCUUUGCUGUUGCUGUCAAUCAGGUUUAUGCUACUGAAACUUCCUACCACUUGUAACCAUACUGCUGUCUCAAGUCUGUUAUCAUCUGUGACAAUUUUGAAAUCAAUGGUAUAUACUACCACCUGAGACCCACUUCAGGAAACCAUCCAUGUUGAUGUCAUUUAUCUUUGUUCCCUGUUUUGACCAAGUGGAUGUCCAUUAUCUGACUUAACAUCUGAAAUUAAGUUGAUGUCACUCAUUCAUGUUGCCGCUGAUAACCAUGUUUAUGGCCAUAAGCUUCGUUGGAAUCUUAGACCUUGUGAAUGUCCAUUGUCCAUGUUGCCACCUGAGUCCAUGAUGAUGACCAUGAUGAUUUUAGUCUGUGCUGCUCUCAGCCAUAAUGUUGAUGUCUCUGAUUGGUGCUGCUACUGUGGACUAGGUCAAUAUGAAUGAUCUAAGCUGCCAACAGAAACUAUUUUGAUAUCAUUAAGCCAUCCUUGUACUGGAGACCACGUUGAAAUCUUUGUCCUUGAUGCCACCAAAAACUAUGUUUAUGUUCAUGCUCUGGGCUGCAUACUGAAGAACAGUUGGAUAUCCAUGACCCAGCUGCUGAUGGAGACUGUGUUGAUGUCUGUGGUCAGUAUUGCCACAAGAAAGCAUCCUGAUAGUGAUCUGUGAUGCCUCCCUCAUACACGUU